This 322-nucleotide ribosomal RNA is filed under the name uncultured eukaryote. RNAcentral's name for it is "partial 18S ribosomal RNA". It matches the Rfam family "Eukaryotic small subunit ribosomal RNA", at positions 1470 to 1796 of the family's 1831-position model. The record is from RNAcentral.
CCCUUAGAUGUUCUGGGCUGCACGCGUGCUACACUGAUAUUGCCAAUAUGUCAUUCUUAUCCGAAAUGGAUUGGGUAAUCAAGUAAUGAAAUUUCAUGCUUGGAAUCGGUAAUUGCAAUUUUAUCGUGAACGAGGAAUUCCUAGUAAGCACUAGUCAUCAGCUAAUGUUGAUUAUGUCCCUGCCCUUUGUACACACCGCCCGUCGCUACUACUGAUUGGGUGUUCAAGUGAGAUGCUUAGACCCUUGUUGCAUGGUUCAUUAUUGUGCUCCGAAAGGAAAAGUUUCAAGCUUGAGUGUCUAGAGGAAGUAAAAGUCGUAACA